This 253-nucleotide ribosomal RNA is filed under the name uncultured bacterium. Its description in RNAcentral is "partial 16S ribosomal RNA". It matches the Rfam family "Bacterial small subunit ribosomal RNA", at positions 524 to 776 of the family's 1533-position model. The record is from RNAcentral.
UACGUAGGGUGCGAGCGUUGUCCGGAAUUAUUGGGCGUAAAGAGCUUGUAGGCGGUUUGUCGCGUCUGCUGUGAAAAUCCGGGGCUCAACCCCGGACUUGCAGUGGGUACGGGCAGACUAGAGUGUGGUAGGGGAGACUGAAAUUCCUGGUGUAGCGGUGGAAUGCGCAGAUAUCAGGAGGAACACCGGUGGCGAAGGCGGGUCUCUGGGCCGAUACUGACGCUGAGGAGCGAAAGCGUGGGGAGCGAACAGG